Molecule: ribosomal RNA, 576 nt
Filed under: uncultured Urochordata
Lineage: Eukaryota; Metazoa; Chordata
Description: SSU rRNA
Rfam family: Eukaryotic small subunit ribosomal RNA
Source: RNAcentral
UUCCAGCUCCAAAAGUGUAUAUUUAAGUUGUUGCGGUUGAAAAGCUCGUAGUUGGAUUUUGGGAUGGUGCGUACGGUCGGCCGCAAGGCUUGUACUGAACGUGCUGUCCUCACGUGACCGGCGCCUCUAAGGUGCUCUUAACUGAGUGUCUGUGUGGUCCGGGAAGUUUACCUUGAAAAAAUUAGAGUGUUCAAAGCAGGCUUAAAGCUUGAAUAAUGUUGCAUGGAAUAAUGGAAUAGGACCUCGGUUCUAUUUUGUUGGUUUUCGGAGCGCGAGGUAAUGAUUAAGAGGGACGGACGGGGGCAUCCGUACUGUGCCGCUAGAGGUGAAAUUCUUGGAUCGGCGCAAGACGAACAACUGCGAAAGCAUUUGCCAAGAAUGUUUUCUUUAAUCAAGAGCGAAAGUCAGAGGUUCGAAGACGAUCAGAUACCGUCCUAGUUCUGACCUUAAACGAUGCCGACUAGCGAUCGGGCAGUGUCGAAAGUAAGACCUGCCCGGCAGCUUCCGGGAAACCAAAGUCUUUGGGUUCCGGGGGAAGUAUGGUUGCAAAGCUGAAACUUAAAGGAAUUGACGGAA